GUGUCACUAGCUCAGUUGGUAGAGCAUACGACUUUUAAUCGUAGGGUCACGGGUUCAAAUCCCGUGUGACACA
Molecule: transfer RNA, 73 nt
Filed under: Lachnospira eligens
Lineage: Bacteria; Bacillati; Bacillota; Clostridia; Lachnospirales; Lachnospiraceae
Description: [Eubacterium] eligens tRNA-Lys
Rfam family: tRNA
About the family: Transfer RNA (tRNA) molecules are approximately 80 nucleotides in length.
Source: RNAcentral